GAUAGGCAAAGCGUGUUCCCUUUAUCAGUGUGCAAGAAUGGAAUGAUGCUGAGAAAACUAAAUUGGUACCUGUGCAAGGAAGGCAUGAAAAUUCAUGAAGUGAUCCAUAUUUUA
Molecule: small nuclear RNA, 114 nt
Organism: Cricetulus griseus (Chinese hamster)
Lineage: Eukaryota; Metazoa; Chordata; Mammalia; Rodentia; Cricetidae
Source: Ensembl